GCUGGAGUGGCGGAAAGGGUAGACGCGGUGGUAUUGGAAGUCACUGGGUAAUUAACCUUGUUCAGAGGGCACCCGUGCGAGUUCAAAUCUCGUCUCCAGCA
RNAcentral lists this transfer RNA (101 nucleotides) under hydrothermal vent metagenome. RNAcentral describes it as "tRNA-Pseudo-TGG". It matches the Rfam family "tRNA". From Rfam's summary of the family: Transfer RNA (tRNA) molecules are approximately 80 nucleotides in length. Their secondary structure includes four short double-helical elements and three loops (D, anti-codon, and T loops). Further hydrogen bonds mediate the characteristic L-shaped molecular structure. tRNAs have two regions of fundamental functional importance: the anti-codon, which is responsible for specific mRNA codon recognition, and the 3' end, to which the tRNAs corresponding amino acid is attached (by aminoacyl-tRNA synthetases). tRNAs cope with the degeneracy of the genetic code in two manners: having more than one tRNA (with a specific anti-codon) for a particular amino acid; and 'wobble' base-pairing, i.e. permitting non-standard base-pairing at the 3rd anti-codon position. The record is from RNAcentral.